RNAcentral lists this unclassified non-coding RNA (202 nucleotides) under Hevea brasiliensis (rubber tree). Lineage: Eukaryota; Viridiplantae; Streptophyta; Magnoliopsida; Malpighiales; Euphorbiaceae. The record is from RNAcentral.
ACUACUCGAAGAGUAGUAAUGCAAGUAUGUGUCCUUUUAUUAGUUGUCUAAUGCAUUUCAUUUUCUUUGGCUUUUAUAUUUAGAUUUCUGGGAUUUGGAUAGGAAUGUGUGAAAUUUUACAAUUAUUUGCGACAGCUUCUUGGUAAGCUUAAACUCUAGGGACAAUGUGGAUUGUCUAAUGGCAGUGACACUUGCAUCUGGG